CCUAACACAUGCAAGUCGAACGGUAACAGGAAGAAGCUUGCUUCUUUGCUGACGAGUGGCGGACGGGUGAGUAAUGUCUGGGAAACUGCCUGAUGGAGGGGGAUAACUACUGGAAACGGUAGCUAAUACCGCAUAACGUCGCAAAACCAAAGAGGGGGACCUUCGGGCCUCUUGCCAUCGGAUGUGCCCAGAUGGGAUUAGCUUGUUGGUGGGGUAACGGCUCACCUAGGCGACGAUCCCUAGCUGGUCUGAGAGGAUGACCAGCCACACUGGAACUGAGACACGGUCCAGACUCCUACGGGAGGCAGCAGUGGGGAAUAUUGCACAAUGGGCGAAAGCCUGAUGCAGCGACGCCGCGUGCGGGAUGACGGCCUUCGGGUUGUAAACCGCU
This 391-nucleotide ribosomal RNA is filed under the name uncultured bacterium. RNAcentral's name for it is "bacterial SSU rRNA". It matches the Rfam family "Bacterial small subunit ribosomal RNA", at positions 47 to 434 of the family's 1533-position model. The record is from RNAcentral.